AACGAACGCUGGCGGCAUGCCUAACACAUGCAAGUCGAACGAGACCUUCGGGUCUAGUGGCGCACGGGUGCGUCACGCGUGGGAACCUGCCCUUAGGUUCGGAAUAACUCCCCGAAAGGGGUGCUAAUACCGGAUAAUGUCUUCGGACCAAAGAUUUAUCGCCUUUGGAUGGGCCCGCGUUGGAUUAGCUAGUUGGUAGGGUAACAGCCUACCAAGGCGACGAUCCAUAGCUGGUCUGAGAGGAUGAUCAGCCACACUGGGACUGAGACACGGCCCAGACUCCUACGGGAGGCAGCAGUGGGGAAUAUUGGACAAUGGGCGAAAGCCUGAUCCAGCAAUGCCGCGUGAGUGAUGAAGGCCUUAGGGUUGUAAAGCUCUUUUACCCGGGAUGAUAAUGACAGUACCGGGAGAAUAAGCUCCGGCUAACUCCGUG
Molecule: ribosomal RNA, 433 nt
Filed under: uncultured bacterium
Lineage: Bacteria
Description: partial 16S ribosomal RNA
Rfam family: Bacterial small subunit ribosomal RNA
Source: RNAcentral